Non-coding RNA from Oryza sativa Japonica Group (Japanese rice), 1187 nucleotides. Lineage: Eukaryota; Viridiplantae; Streptophyta; Magnoliopsida; Poales; Poaceae. The record is from RefSeq and is a predicted model, not a curated record.
CAUAACCCACCUUCUUCCUCUUCUUUUUUUUUUCUCGUUCUCUUCCUCUCCCUCACGCUCCACCCAGCGCCGCUGCUUCCCAGGCAGUGCCGUCGCUCUCCCCUGCGCCUGCUGCCACGCCCCACUCCGGCGACCCUUCUAGCCGCCGCCCCGCAACCGUCGCCGGCCUGAAUCGGUUUCUUGGCUCCUCGCUUCUCUGCCCCUAAGCUAAUCCCAGCCACCGGUCUCUUGCUGCUGCAGCCGCCGUGGAGAUGGCCGGUGGAAACACAGCGCACGCAACUCCGGUGGCUGCAUCCCUUUCCCCCAUAGAUUACCUUGUUUGAUGGUCCUACUGUGGCUGUGGAAGACUGAUGAUCAUGUGACUCUCUGGUUCUACAGCUUCUUCUGGAAUUGGUCAGGGUGUUGCUCUCCUCCUCUUGUUUACUGCUGCUCUUCUGGAUUCUGCUACUUGUUUCUCCUCCUUAAAUUGAAACCCCUUGCUCUUCUUGAAACACAUGCAUCCCCUUUCUUUUCCUUCUACUCACUCACCCUGGUUGUUUUUCUAUGGCUGCUGCUAUUGAGAUAUGGUGUAACUGUGGUGCCGGAUUACUAGCUACUGCUCUGCUAUUUCUCUCUUUUGAGGUGGUUUUCCAGAUGAAUUGCUUGCUGCUAUUGCUGUUGUGGCUGAGGCUACUGCGCCAUGGCUGUCCCCUAUGCUUGUUUCUGGGAGCAAUGGCAUGGUGUGAAGGGAAGACAUGGUUGGGUUUAUUUUGGGGAGAUUUUGACUAGUGACUCACCUACCUCAUGCAGGAAGAAUGCAUGCUUGAAUCCUGGGCGUGCGUCCCGUCGAAGCGACAGAUGAGGCACUCUUGGUGGAUACCUGCGAAGAACCUUUACCUGAAUUUGCAAGUCGUGGGGGAGGUGGUUUUGGCGCUGUAAAAACUCCGGACGCAACUGGUCGCUUGCUCGUUGGUGGAGGCGCCCAGAAAGAGAUAGGCUCGGGUAGCCUCUAAGAUGGCUUCGCCCGCGGCGUGUGUGUGCUCGCCUUGUUCUUAACCUGUUGAUCACCCCCUGCAAUUACUUCUCUGCAAGCAUAGCAAACUGAAACAACUGGUUGACAGUUUUAAAUUCCUUAUUAUCAACUAUGUCCUGAAUUUCGCACCUCAAUUCCGAGUAAAAAUGACAAAUAGAAUCUUCGGUUCCCUCCA